This 254-nucleotide ribosomal RNA is filed under the name uncultured bacterium. RNAcentral's name for it is "partial 16S ribosomal RNA". It matches the Rfam family "Bacterial small subunit ribosomal RNA", at positions 526 to 779 of the family's 1533-position model. The record is from RNAcentral.
CGAAGGGUGCAAGCGUUACUCGGAAUUACUGGGCGUAAAGCGUGCGUAGGUGGUGGUUUAAGUCUGCUGUGAAAGCCCUGGGCUCAACCUGGGAAUUGCAGUGGAUACUGGAUCACUAGAGUGUGGUAGAGGGAUGCGGAAUUUCUGGUGUAGCAGUGAAAUGCGUAGAGAUCAGAAGGAACAUCCGUGGCGAAGGCGGCAUCCUGGGGCCAACACUGACACUGAGGCACGAAAGCGUGGGAGCAAACAGGAUU